This 388-nucleotide ribosomal RNA is filed under the name uncultured Pseudomonas sp. RNAcentral's name for it is "bacterial SSU rRNA". It matches the Rfam family "Bacterial small subunit ribosomal RNA", at positions 1000 to 1382 of the family's 1533-position model. The record is from RNAcentral. Lineage: Bacteria; Pseudomonadati; Pseudomonadota; Gammaproteobacteria; Pseudomonadales; Pseudomonadaceae.
CCAGAGAUGGAUUGGUGCCGUUCGGGAACUCUGACACAGGUGCUGCAUGGCUGUCGUCAGCUCGUGUCGUGAGAUGGUUGGGUUAACGUCCCGUAACGAGCGCCAACCCUUGUCCUUAGUUACCAGCACGUUAUGGUGGGCACUCUAAGGAGACUGCCGGUGACAAACCGGAGGAAGGUGGGGAUGACGUCAAGUCAUCAUCGGCCCUUACGGCCUGGGCUACACACGUGCUACAAUGGUCGGUACAAAGGGUUGCCAAGCCGCGAGGUGGAGCUAAUCCCAUAAAACCGAUCGUAGUCCGGAUCGCAGUCUGCAACUCGACUGCGUGAAGUCGGAAUCGCUAGUAAUCGUGAAUCAGAAUGUCACGGUGAAUACGUUCCCGGGCCUU